RNAcentral lists this ribosomal RNA (483 nucleotides) under uncultured bacterium. RNAcentral describes it as "bacterial SSU rRNA". It matches the Rfam family "Bacterial small subunit ribosomal RNA", at positions 28 to 507 of the family's 1533-position model. The record is from RNAcentral.
GACGAACGCUGGCGGCGUGCUUAACACAUGCAAGUCGAACGGAAAGGCCCUUCGGGGUACUCGAGUGGCGAACGGGUGAGUAACACGUGGGUGAUCUGCCCUGCACUUUGGGAUAAGCCUGGGAAACUGGGUCUAAUACCGAAUAGGACCGCGCGCUUCAUGGUGUGUGGUGGAAAGCUUUUGCGGUGUGGGAUGGGCCCGCGGCCUAUCAGCUUGUUGGUGGGGUAAUGGCCUACCAAGGCGACGACGGGUAGCCGGCCUGAGAGGGUGACCGGCCACACUGGGACUGAGAUACGGCCCAGACUCCUACGGGAGGCAGCAGUCGAGAGGCUUCGGCAAUGGGGGAAACCCUGACCGAGCGACGCCGCGUGAAGGAUGAAGGCCCUUGGGUUGUAAACUUCUUUUGUCAGCGAAGAAAUGCGAUCAGGUGAAUAAUCUGGUCGCUUGACGGUAGCUGACGAAUAAGCUCCGGCUAACUCCGUG